AUAUCAGUCAUGCAUAGCAUAUCAAUAAGCGGAGGAAAAGAAACUAACAAGGAUUCCCUUAGUAACGGCGAGUGAAGCGGGAAGAGCUCAAAUUUGAAAUCUUCAAGGUUUUACCUUGACGAAUUGUAGUUUAAAGAAGUGUUUUCUGUUGAAGUUUUGGUAAAAGUUCUUUGGAAUAGGACAUCAUAGAGGGUGAGAAUCCCGUAUUUGACCAUUACUUUCAGCUUUGUGAUACACUUUCAAAGAGUCGGAUUGUUUGGGAAUGCAGUCCAAAAUGGGUGGUAAAUUUCAUCUAAAGCUAAAUAUUGGCGAGAGACCGAUAGCGAACAAGUACCGUGAGGGAAAGAUGAAAAGAACUUUGAAAAGAGAGUUAAACAGUACGUGAAAUUGUCAAAAGGGAAGCGCUUUGACACCAGUGUUGUUUUCUCGAAAAUCAAUUAAAAAGAGUUGGAUUUUGUGUUGUAUUGACUUUAUCAGCUUUCUUCACUCUUUUCCAGCUUUUUUUAAUGCACUUUUCGUUUAACAAGUCAACAUCAGUUUCUUUUGUUGUAAAAAGGUCCAUUGGAAGGUGGCUUUCUCUUCGGAGAAAGUGUUUAUAGCCUUUGACUCAUGCAAUCGGAGAGACUGAGGUCUGCAGCGUAGAUCCUUCGGGGUUAGAUACAUUUGUGCUAAGUUAUAGCUUUUCAUAGACAACUUGUUGACUAUGUUUAGUCUUGUAGCUUACUCGCUUAUGCUAUUUUACCUACGCUUAGGAUGUUGAACUCUAUCACACACAG
Molecule: ribosomal RNA, 776 nt
Filed under: uncultured Neocallimastigales
Lineage: Eukaryota; Fungi; Neocallimastigomycota; Neocallimastigomycetes; Neocallimastigales
Description: partial large subunit ribosomal RNA
Rfam family: Eukaryotic large subunit ribosomal RNA
Source: RNAcentral